UGCUCAGGAUGAACGCUGGCGGCGUGCCUAAUACAUGCAAGUCGAGCGAAUGAUGAGGAGCUUGCUCCUCUGAUUUAGCGGCGGACGGGUGAGUAACACGUGGGUAAUCUGCCUGUAAGACGGGGAUAACUCCGGGAAACCGGGGCUAAUACCGGAUAAUAAGAGAAGAAGCAUUUCUUCUUUUUGAAAGUCGGUUUCGGCUGACACUUACAGAUGAGCCCGCGGCGCAUUAGCUAGUUGGUGAGGUAACGGCUCACCAAGGCGACGAUGCGUAGCCGACCUGAGAGGGUGAUCGGCCACACUGGGACUGAGACACGGCCCAGACUCCUACGGGAGGCAGCAGUAGGGAAUCUUCGGCAAUGGGCGAAAGCCUGACCGAGCAACGCCGCGUGAGCGAUGAAGGCCUUCGGGUCGUAAAGCUCUGUUGUUAGAGAAGAACAAGUACGAGAGUAACUGCUCGUAC
This 463-nucleotide ribosomal RNA is filed under the name Fictibacillus barbaricus. RNAcentral describes it as "bacterial SSU rRNA". It matches the Rfam family "Bacterial small subunit ribosomal RNA", at positions 21 to 473 of the family's 1533-position model. Lineage: Bacteria; Bacillati; Bacillota; Bacilli; Caryophanales; Fictibacillaceae. The record is from RNAcentral.